UACAUGUGGGGCAAGCGUUGUUCGGAAUUACUGGGCAUAAAGGGUGCGUAGGUGGCUUGUUAAGUCAGGGGUGAAAGUUUUCGGCCCAACCGGAAAAUGGCCUUUGAUACUGGCGAGCUCGAGUGCGUGAGGGGUAACCGGAACGAGCAGUGUAGCGGUGAAAUGCGUAGAUAUUGCUCGGAAGGCCAACGGCGAAGGCAGGUUACUGGUGCGCAACUGACACUGAGGCACGAAAGCGUGGGGAGCAA
RNAcentral lists this ribosomal RNA (248 nucleotides) under uncultured bacterium. RNAcentral describes it as "partial 16S ribosomal RNA". It matches the Rfam family "Bacterial small subunit ribosomal RNA", at positions 524 to 771 of the family's 1533-position model. The record is from RNAcentral.